UACGUAGGGAGCAAGCGUUGUCCGGAAUCAUUGGGCGUAAAGCGCGCGUAGGCGGCCUCAUAAGUCCGUUGUGAAAGUCAAAGGCUCAACCUUUGAAAGCCGAUGGAUACUGUGAGGCUAGCGUCCGGAAGAGGCGAGUGGAAUUCCUGGUGUAGCGGUGGAAUGCGCAGAUAUCAGGAGGAACACCAAUAGCGAAGGCAGCUCGCUGGGACGGUACUGACGCUAAGGCGCGAAAGCGUGGGGAGCGAACAGG
RNAcentral lists this ribosomal RNA (253 nucleotides) under uncultured bacterium. Its description in RNAcentral is "partial 16S ribosomal RNA". It matches the Rfam family "Bacterial small subunit ribosomal RNA", at positions 524 to 776 of the family's 1533-position model. The record is from RNAcentral.